RNAcentral lists this ribosomal RNA (468 nucleotides) under uncultured bacterium. RNAcentral's name for it is "partial 16S ribosomal RNA". It matches the Rfam family "Bacterial small subunit ribosomal RNA", at positions 28 to 507 of the family's 1533-position model. The record is from RNAcentral.
GACGAACGCUGGCGGUGUGCUUAACACAUGCAAGUCGAACGGAAAGGCCCUGCUUUCGUGCGGUGCUCGGGUGGCGAACGGGUGAGUAAGACGUGAGUAACCUGCUCUUGUCUUUGGGAUGAGUUCAGGAAAGUGGGGCUAAUAUCGGAUAGGAGAUGAUGUUGGAUGGUGGGGGUGGGAACGUUGCGGCGGGUGGGGAUGGACUAGCGGGUUAUGAGCUUGCUGGUGGGGUAGUGGCUUACCAAGGCAUUGACGGGUCGCCGGCAUGAGAGGGUGACCGGCCACAUGGCUCCUGAGAGACGGAGCAGACUCCAACGUGAGACAGCAGUGGGAAAUAUUGCCCAAUGAGCGGGAGUCGGUGACAACGACGCCGCGUGCGUAAUGACCGCUUGCGGGGAAAGAACCGCAUUCGGUUAAUACCAAGCGGGAGUGACGGUACCCAAAGAAGAAGCACCGGCUAACUACGUG